GCCCGGGUACGCCAGCGGAAGAUCGGAUGCACUUGUAAUGCACGGAAUGCGUCGGUUCGAAAACGACCCCCGGGUA
This 76-nucleotide transfer RNA is filed under the name Streptomyces sp. 7-21. Its description in RNAcentral is "tRNA-Thr". RNAcentral also lists the same sequence under 1 other name. Lineage: Bacteria; Bacillati; Actinomycetota; Actinomycetes; Kitasatosporales; Streptomycetaceae. The record is from RNAcentral.